GACAACUGGCUUGUGGUAGCCAAGCAUCCAUAGCGACGUUGCUCUUGAUCCUUCGAUUUCGGCUCUUCCUAUCAUUGCGAAGCAGAAUUCGCCAAGCGUUGGAUUGCUCACCCACUAAUAGGGAACGUGAAUUGGGUUUAGACCGUCGUGAGACAGGUU
RNAcentral lists this non-coding RNA (159 nucleotides) under Ancylostoma ceylanicum. Its description in RNAcentral is "Eukaryotic large subunit ribosomal RNA". It matches the Rfam family "Eukaryotic large subunit ribosomal RNA", at positions 2825 to 2984 of the family's 3401-position model. Lineage: Eukaryota; Metazoa; Nematoda; Chromadorea; Rhabditida; Ancylostomatidae. The record is from Rfam by way of RNAcentral.